UACGAAGGGGGCUAGCGUUGCUCGGAAUCACUGGGCGUAAAGCGCACGUAGGCGGCUUCUUAAGUCAGGGGUGAAAUCCUGGGGCUCAACCCCAGAACUGCCCUUGAUACUGAGGAGCUUGAGUCCGGGAGAGGUGAGUGGAACUCCGAGUGUAGAGGUGAAAUUCGUAGAUAUUCGGAAGAACACCAGUGGCGAAGGUGGCUCACUGGCCCGGUACUGACGUUGAGGUGUGAAAGCGUGGGGAGCAAACAGG
RNAcentral lists this ribosomal RNA (253 nucleotides) under uncultured bacterium. RNAcentral describes it as "partial 16S ribosomal RNA". It matches the Rfam family "Bacterial small subunit ribosomal RNA", at positions 524 to 776 of the family's 1533-position model. The record is from RNAcentral.